RNAcentral lists this long non-coding RNA (258 nucleotides) under Bos taurus (domestic cattle). RNAcentral describes it as "long non-coding RNA NONBTAT017023". Lineage: Eukaryota; Metazoa; Chordata; Mammalia; Artiodactyla; Bovidae. The record is from RNAcentral.
GAAAAUGUGGACACUUUUCAGUGUCAUUGGGAGAUGUAACACCCAGUGAUAAGUGUAUAUUGGUGUAUGGAAGGGGCUCUAUAAUUAAUUCUGUUGCUUUUUCUUAACACUGUCUUCUCCAGUGAAUUUUUUGUGUCCUUUCCUGUUUUUUUUUCUCUUUUGUGUCUCCCAAGUGGCAUUCACUGACUUACUUUCCUAGCAUUGCUCAAGACCAAUGUUGUUGACCUCUGAUUUAGACCAGUUAUUUCCUCUUUAGGC